This 851-nucleotide ribosomal RNA is filed under the name Halalkalibacterium halodurans. Its description in RNAcentral is "bacterial SSU rRNA". It matches the Rfam family "Bacterial small subunit ribosomal RNA", at positions 32 to 865 of the family's 1533-position model. The record is from RNAcentral. Lineage: Bacteria; Bacillati; Bacillota; Bacilli; Caryophanales; Bacillaceae.
GACGCUGGCGGCGUGCAUAAUACAUGCAAGUCGAGCGGACCAAAGGGAGCUUGCUCCUAGAGGUUAGCGGCGAACGGGUGAGUAACACGUGGGCAACCUGCCUGUAAGACUGGGAUAACAUCGAGAAAUCGGUGCUAAUACCGGAUAAUAAAAAGAACUGCAUGGUUCUUUUUUGAAAGAUGGUUUCGGCUAUCACUUACAGAUGGGCCCGCGGCGCAUUAGCUAGUUGGUGAGGUAACGGCUCACCAAGGCGACGAUGCGUAGCCGACCUGAGAGGGUGAUCGGCCACACUGGGACUGAGACACGGCCCAGACUCCUACGGGAGGCAGCAGUAGGGAAUCUUCCGCAAUGGACGAAAGUCUGACGGAGCAACGCCGCGUGAGUGAUGAAGGUUUUCGGAUCGUAAAACUCUGUUGUUAGGGAAGAACAAGUGCCGUUCGAAAGGGCGGCACCUUGACGGUACCUAACGAGAAAGCCACGGCUAACUACGUGCCAGCAGCCGCGGUAAUACGUAGGUGGCAAGCGUUGUCCGGAAUUAUUGGGCGUAAAGCGCGCGCAGGCGGUCUCUUAAGUCUGAUGUGAAAGCCCCCGGCUCAACCGGGGAGGGUCAUUGGAAACUGGGAGACUUGAGUACAGAAGAGGAGAGUGGAAUUCCACGUGUAGCGGUGAAAUGCGUAGAGAUGUGGAGGAACACCAGUGGCGAAGGCGACUCUCUGGUCUGUAACUGACGCUGAGGCGCGAAAGCGUGGGGAGCAAACAGGAUUAGAUACCCUGGUAGUCCACGCCGUAAACGAUGAGUGCUAGGUGUUAGGGGUUUCGACGCCCUUAGUGCCGAAGUUAACACAUUAAGC